GACGAACGCUGGCGGCGUGCUUAACACAUGCAAGUCGAACGGAAAGGCCCUGCGUUUGUUGGGUUCUCGAUUGGCGAACGGGUGAGUAACACGUGAGUAACCUGCCCUUGACUGUCGGAUAACCUCAGGAAACUGGGGCUAAUACCGGGUAGGAUCUCCUGCUGCAUGGGGUGGGUUGGAGAGUUUCGGCGGUUGGGGAUGGACUCGCGGCUUAUCAGCUUGUUGGUGGGGUAGUGGCUGACGAAGGCUUUGACGGGUAGCCGGCCUGGGAGGGUGAACGGGCACCUGGGGACUGAGAUACGGCGCAGACUCCUACGGGAGGCAGAAGUGGGGAAUAUUGCAGAAUGGGCGGAAGCCUGAUGCAGAAACGCCGCGUGCGGGAUGACGGGCUUUGGGUUGUAAACCGCUUUCGCAUGUGACGAAGAGUGAGUGACGGUAAUGGGUAAAGAAGCACCGGCUAACUACGUA
Molecule: ribosomal RNA, 468 nt
Filed under: uncultured bacterium
Lineage: Bacteria
Description: partial 16S ribosomal RNA
Rfam family: Bacterial small subunit ribosomal RNA
Source: RNAcentral